GAAAGUCCGGGCUUCACAGGGCAGGAUGCCGGAUAACGUCCGGCUGGGGUAACCCACGGGAAAGCGCAACAGAAAAGAACCGCCUGCGCAUGCAGGUAAGGGUGAAAAGGCAGUGUAAGAGACUACCGCCUGGUCAGUAAUGAGCAGGGCAUAUGCAAGCCCCAUCCGAAGCAAGGCUGAGACGGAGCGAUACGGCGGCCCGCCGUGCUCCAGGUAAGCCGCUCGAUCCGCCCGGCAACGGGCGGGCUAGACAGAUGACCGUACACGACAGAACCCGGCUUAUCGCUCUGCCG
RNAcentral lists this RNase P RNA (293 nucleotides) under bovine gut metagenome. Its description in RNAcentral is "Bacterial RNase P class A". It matches the Rfam family "Bacterial RNase P class A", at positions 46 to 361 of the family's 367-position model. From Rfam's summary of the family: Ribonuclease P (RNase P) is a ubiquitous endoribonuclease, found in archaea, bacteria and eukarya as well as chloroplasts and mitochondria. Its best characterised activity is the generation of mature 5'-ends of tRNAs by cleaving the 5'-leader elements of precursor-tRNAs. The record is from RNAcentral.